Molecule: unclassified non-coding RNA, 245 nt
Filed under: fungal sp.
Lineage: Eukaryota; Fungi
Description: partial internal transcribed spacer region
Rfam family: Eukaryotic small subunit ribosomal RNA (bases 1-46)
Source: RNAcentral
AAGUCGUAACAAGGUUUCCGUAGGUGAACCUGCGGAAGGAUCAUUAACAAUAAUCCAAAACACCCGUCUUGGCCUCUGCUACUAUCUAUUAUAUUUUGGGGGAUCAACCUCUCUCAAUGUAUAUGUGUGUGUAGACGAGGCCGCUGACAAACACACUAACAUUCAACAUAGACAACCAAUGGAGAACCAAACAAUCUUGAAAGCUGAAAAGCAAACAACUUUUAACAAUGGAUCUCUCGGCUCUU